UACAGAGGGGGCAAGCGUUAUUCGGAAUUAUUGGGCGUAAAGGGCGCGUAGGCGGCCUGGCAAGUGGAAGGUGAAAUCCCUCGGCUUAACCGAGGAACUGCCCUCCAAACUGCUUGGCUUGAGUCCGGGAGAGGUGAAUGGAAUUCCCAGUGUAGCGGUGAAAUGCGUAGAUAUUGGGAGGAACACCAGUGGCGAAGGCGGCUCACUGGACCGGAACUGACGCUGAGGCGCGAAAGCGUGGGGAGCAAACAGG
This 253-nucleotide ribosomal RNA is filed under the name uncultured bacterium. RNAcentral's name for it is "partial 16S ribosomal RNA". It matches the Rfam family "Bacterial small subunit ribosomal RNA", at positions 524 to 776 of the family's 1533-position model. The record is from RNAcentral.